Molecule: transfer RNA, 73 nt
Filed under: Tetracentron sinense
Lineage: Eukaryota; Viridiplantae; Streptophyta; Magnoliopsida; Trochodendrales; Trochodendraceae
Rfam family: tRNA
About the family: Transfer RNA (tRNA) molecules are approximately 80 nucleotides in length. Their secondary structure includes four short double-helical elements and three loops (D, anti-codon, and T loops).
Source: Rfam by way of RNAcentral
ACCUACUUGACUCAGCGGUUUGAGUAUCGCUUUCAUACGGCGAGAGUCAUUGGUUCAAAUCCAAUAGUAGGUA